Bacillus rossius redtenbacheri is the source of this 3798-nucleotide long non-coding RNA. RefSeq lists it as uncharacterized. NCBI's taxonomy places the organism in Eukaryota, Metazoa, Arthropoda, Insecta, Phasmatodea, Bacillidae. The transcript is spliced from 2 exons. The record is from RefSeq and is a predicted model, not a curated record.
GGGUUGAAAUUUUGCAGGGUUGUUGAAAUCAAAUUUAGGGACUUUACUGACGGGACUCUGGGCUGGCUGCUCUGUUCACUCGUCAGCGCAAGUGGCGUGACCAAGUAAUUGGGGCACGGGGCCGGCGCGGCGCGCUGCGGGCUUGCAGAAUUUUGUUUGUUUGUUUGGCCGCACGCUGGCGCAGCCACGGGCCGCAGUUACUGGGGCGCGCUGUCGUAACAAGCCGCGCGGUGUGGCCUGCACAUUGGGGUAGAGGGGGGGUAGUCUUCCCAGAUGUUCUAGUUAGUUGUUUAGUAAAUUUGACUUCAAUAACGAGCUUUUGUUAUGGUAGGCGCGGCAGGGCGCGCGAAUUUAAGCGCAAGUGAUUGGUGACUCGGGGCUCACUCAGGCGGAGGCUAUGCGUCUCACCUGUGGUCACGAGUUGUUAGUUCGUUCGUGAUGUAGGAAUUCAGGCUCACUCAGGCGGAGGCUAUGCGUCUCACCUGUGGUCACGAGUUGUUAGUUCGUUCGUGAUGUAGGAAUUCAAGCUUUCGGGCGGAAGCUAUGGUCGACGCCAGAGGCCACGAGUCGUUUAAUUUAAGUUAGGUCAUAAUGUAGUCGUCAAGCUUUCGGGCGGAGGCUAUGGCCCUCGUCAGGGGUCACGCGUCAUAGUUUUUAAAAUGUAAUGUUCGUUCGGGAUUUCAAGGGCAGGAGAGGCCCCUACGUUAUUUUUUUAAAGUAAUCGAUCAAGAAAGGCUUUUCGGAAAAUGUGAGUAUGGACUUAUCUUUGUUUUAAUUUUAAGUAUUAAUUAUGAUUUGAGGUAUUCGGAAGGACUAGGGAAGUGUUUAGUGAAGUUCUCUCAUUCUCUCUCUUGUAAGGUCGUUCAAUCGUUAAGGAAGUAAAGAGAUUAUUGUUUUAAAUUGUAAUCCCGCUAUUUAAAUGUUCUUUAAAAUGAUGUUGAGUAUUUGACUUUAAGAAUAAAAUAAUUUUAAUUAAGUAUUAUGUUAUUUUGCAAAAUCUCCUUAGUUCAGCUCUCACCAGACAUCCUGUACGGGAUGACGAACCUAUGAUCCUAGGUACAGUAAAGUAUUUUAUGAAGUUAAGACUAGUUGAUGCCAAGCGAGUUGUUUCUAUGUAAAGAGCUACGAUUCUCGCCCCCCCCCCCCCCCUCUGAAGGUGGAUCGUGACAGAAAUGGUAGAGUUCGCCGGAUAGGUUCUAUUUCUGGAGAGAGAGAGAGGUAGAUUUUUAUGUUUAUUAUUAAGUUAGUUUCAGCUUCUGAUAGCAGGUUAUUAAGAGUUUACUUGAGGAGAGGAUUACGGAAUUUUAGUCUAUAGUGGAGGAAGUCUUUGAGAUUUUUUUUUUGACGUAACAGAUGUUUAUUUGAGGAUACUUGUAAGGAUAAAGUUUAUAGUGAUAAGUUGUUUUAAGUCGUUGAAUUUAUUGUAGAUUUAUAUCGGGGAUUAUUACGUGAGGAGAAUACGUUAUAAGUUAAAUGCUUAUUAGAGAUAAUGCAAGUGGUUUAAUUUAAUUGAAGUUCAUUUUAAGAUUGUAGGUUAAGAGAAUUAUAAUUUAAAAUAAAGUUUUUUGUCGUAAAUAGGAAUUAUUUUCAAGAGAAGUUUGUUUUGUUUUCGUGCGCGUAGGAGACGAGACGUACGAAUUAAAUCAGUCGAGGGAAGGAUAAACGUUAGAAAGGAAUUAAAGAGAAAACGAGAGUUUAUGUAAAAGAGAGUUAUAGAAUUUAUAGUGAUGUUUUGUUUUAAUUAGAAAAAUGUUGAGAGUUGUUUCAGAACGACACGUCAGUGGACGUGGCAGAGUGAACACGUGACGGGGAGGUGCUGAGACCUAGCGGAGAACGGAGGAACCGCAAGCGAGGGUUGGCGCACCUGAUGGAAUUCGGUGACGUCACGGGCUCAUACGGAGACGUGGACAGGCCGUGACCUUGUUUUGAUCAGCUGUACGGUAACUUAGCGAUAAGAAAAUAGACUAUUGGUUAAAUAAAUUUAAAUUUAAGUGUGUUUUAGGAGAAGAGGAACUUUCAGUAUAUUCCUUAAGAUGAGCUGAGCAGCAGUCCAGUUUACAAGAUGACAAGAGUUCGAGAGACAAGAUACAAGAUCACUGAAACAAGAGCCAAGACUGAAGAUUCAAGAGAAGAGAAAGCUGGCAGCCAUGGACUUACAAGUGGAGAUUAAUAAGGUCAUGUAAAGUUUUAUUUUUUUUUAUGGAAGACAGUAACUGGAGUUUUUUUUUGUUAUAAACAUUAUUUACAGAACUUUUUAGGUUAUAGUAAUGUAAUGGAACUAGUGAGUUGUGGUAGCUGUCAAAAAGAACUAAUACCUUAAGUUUAAUUUUUAAAGUUAAUUUUCUUAAUUUACAGAGGGAUUAGUAGUUUUUUUUAAACCUUAUUUAGGUUGGAAUUUAAAUACAAUAGCUUAUUAUAAAUGUGUACGAACAGUUCAAGUUCACAGUACUGAUAGGUAGGUCAGAUGAUCUUAUUGAUUUUGAUGAUUUGUUGUUUUGAGUUGAUUUUUAAGUGUUGUGAAUUAGACAAUGAAAUAGUUCUGAAAACUUAAAUUAUUUCAAGCUAAGAAAUAGUAAAGUUAAUUGUAACUCAAAGGACACCAGAAUUUAAUUUUUUUUUUGAAUUAGUAAUGUUUGAAAAUUUUAUACUUUACAAGAAAGGUUAUAAACAAACAGAUCGGAUGGAACAAGGAUGCAGUAAAUCACAAUUUCAUUUAGAAUUAUUGAUUAGCUUUUGAGGUUAUGAAGUAAAAGUAAUUAUAGUUUAAAAGUUUGAAUAAAAAAAAAAUGUUUUUUUUUAUUUGUUUGAAAUAGAAAGUUUAAAAGUUAAUUAGUCAUGAUCUAGGUGGGUGAUGGGGUGGGAAUUGGCCACUCUUUUUCCCUAUAACCUCCCUAACAUGGCCUUCUAUUACAACUAACAGAAAUAAAGAAGAAGAAAAAUGAAGAAUUAUUAGUUAGAAUGUUUCUUUCAUGAAGAUACCUGAUGAACUUUUACUGUUUGGAAGAAUAGAAGCAAGAUUAAUCAGAUGUUUUACUCAGAAGAAGAAGAAGAAGAAGAUAAAGCAGUUUUAUGACUCGACAAGCCAGAGAUUGGUGUUUCCCCUCUGCGCUUCUAUUGACUACGUUGUUUACUCUCAUGGGAUAGCUGGUUCGGCACCAUGGAGAGAGAUUGGUGGGCAUUGUGGUUGCCCCCAGAAGAAAAGAAGAGUAGAAGAGGUUAUGGGUGGGUCAUGUGAACUGACCUUCAACCCAGUUACUUCGUGGGGACUAUUUGCUGUAUAGAGAAGAUCAAGACUCAAGAGUUAGGGAAAAUCAUUGGAGGUCAUGUUUCCCUUCCUUAAGUUUUUCCUAUCAAAUUAUUUGCCUGAUUAGAUUAUGCUAAGGGUGGGAUACUUUAUGUUAGCAGUUGAAUUAAUUAAUUUUAUUUUUUUGUGUGUUUGCAUCCUUGCCCAUCGAUUGCAGUUUAGUAGUUAGUUUUGUAUUUGUCAGGCGUGAUGGUAAUGCCUGUUGAUGAUGUUUCAGAAUUGUAAUCUGUUCGUGAUGAGGAUGGCACAACUCCGAAGCAGAUGUGGGGAGAAGUUGUGAGCUGCCCUGGAAGCCAGUCCAGUAGCUGUUGGAGUUGAGUGGUGUUUGCUGAUGGCCAGCCCAGGGAGCUACUCUUCUCGACAACACUGACUUCGAGGAGUUGCACCAACCUUCACGAGAUAAGAGUUUAAUUAAUUGAAACACUGUAAGGACACUUAAUUUUUUUUGAAGAACGAAAGAAGUAUGGUAUUAAACGGAAACCGAAAAAAAAAAA